RNAcentral lists this ribosomal RNA (421 nucleotides) under uncultured Glomeraceae. Its description in RNAcentral is "SSU rRNA". It matches the Rfam family "Eukaryotic small subunit ribosomal RNA", at positions 459 to 886 of the family's 1831-position model. The record is from RNAcentral. Lineage: Eukaryota; Fungi; Glomeromycota; Glomeromycetes; Glomerales; Glomeraceae.
GGGAGGUAGUGACAAUAAAUAACAAUACGGGGUCCUUUGGGUUUCGUAAUUGGAAUGAGUACAAUUUAAAUCUCUUAACGGGGAACAAUUGGAGGGCAAGUCUGGUGCCAGCAGCCGCGGUAAUUCCAGCUCCAAUAGCGUAUAUUAAAGUUGUUGCAGUUAAAAAGCUCGUAGUUGAAUUUCGGGAUCAAUACGUCGGUCGUGCCUUCGGUACGCACUGGGGUCGUUGAUUCCUCCCUUCUGAUGAACCAUGAUGUCAUUAAUUUGGUGUCGUGGGGAGUCAGGACUGUUACUUUGAAAAAUUAGAGUGUUUAAAGCAGGCUAACGCUUGAAUACAUUAGCAUGGAAUAAUGAAAUAGGACGUUUGAUCCUAUUUUGUUGGUUUCUAGGAUUGACGUAAUGAUUAAUAGGGAUAGUUGGG